Molecule: RNase P RNA, 402 nt
Filed under: Verrucomicrobiota bacterium
Lineage: Bacteria; Pseudomonadati; Verrucomicrobiota
Description: Verrucomicrobia bacterium RNase P RNA component class A
Rfam family: Bacterial RNase P class A
About the family: Ribonuclease P (RNase P) is a ubiquitous endoribonuclease, found in archaea, bacteria and eukarya as well as chloroplasts and mitochondria. Its best characterised activity is the generation of mature 5'-ends of tRNAs by cleaving the 5'-leader elements of precursor-tRNAs.
Source: RNAcentral
UCGAUGGCAGAUGAUCGCUGGUGAGCCACGAGGCUCGCUGGAGGAAAGUCCGAACACCAUACGGCGACAUGCCGCGUAAAAUACGCGGGCGCUGCAAUUGUAAGAUUGCGGUGACGGAAAGUGUCACAGAAAAGACACCGCCGGUUCUUUGGCAACAAAGUGCAGGCAAGGGUGAAAAGGCGAGGUAAGAGCUCACCGCUCGCGAAGCAAUUCGCGAGGCACGAAAAACCCCAUGCGGUGCAAGACAAAACAGAGGGAGGGCAGCCGGCCCGUUGAUCCUCGGGUAUCGUCGCAUCACGCUGCGCGCAAGCGCAGCGGGCAUUCGGAGAAAUCCGGGUGAGAUAAAUGAUCAUCCGGUCGCCACGGCGACCCGACAGAAUUCGGCUUACCGCCAUCAAAUAU